AUGGACAAGGAAGCAAUUCAGAAUAUACCUAUCAGUUCGAGGGCACAAGCUGACUUCUGGGGAUGGCACUAUGAGAAGAAAGGGGUGUUUACGAUGAGGUCGGCGUACCGCUUAUUAGCAGCAACAAAACAACAACGUACUGACUGGUUAGAGCAUAAAACAGGACACUCUGAUGUGGGGGCUGUUCACAAGUCAUGGUCCAAGAUUUGGAAGGCACAAGUACCAUCUAAAAUCCGUGUUUUUGCUUGGCGCCUAGCUAAGACGUCAUUGCCAACAGGGAACGCCCGGAAGGAGAGAUCCAUGGCGGACACGCCCGAGUGCUCGAUUUGCCAUGCGGCCGUUGAUAACUGGAGACACUCACUUCUCGAAUGUCAUAUGGCCAAGUGUGUCUGGGCGCUUGCGGACGAGGAGGAGCUAGAGAUGACAGCAGAUCAGCGCCCCAACGCCCAAGGAUACGCUAGGGACUUGCAUUACUUGGGGGCUUCGGCGAUGGUUUUCGACGGUCUCGUCGACCCGACGACUAUUGAAGCCCGAGCAUGCAGCGAAGCACUGGCGCUAGCAUCAGACCUAAACCUCCGGUCGAUCUGUGUGGCGUCGGACUACGCGGAGGUGGUGGCAAAUCUGGAGUCUAGAGGUCUGUGCCGCUACUCUAUGAUUCUUGAGGAGUUCAUAGCACAAAGAGUUUCUUUUGAUGUUAUUCAAGUAGUUCAUGAGAGGAUUCAUAAUGCCGAGGCUCAUUCGUUGGCCAAAGCGGCCUCCUCUCUCCCUUCUGGGCGCCACUUGUGGCUAGAUGUUUUGCCCAAUAUCAUCUGUAUUCCGUCGAAUCUUGAUAGUUAA
This 837-nucleotide ribosomal RNA is filed under the name Triticum aestivum (bread wheat). RNAcentral's name for it is "partial small subunit ribosomal RNA". Lineage: Eukaryota; Viridiplantae; Streptophyta; Magnoliopsida; Poales; Poaceae. The record is from RNAcentral.